CUGUCUGGGCCUGCAGCCUUGCAAGGGUUAACACGUUUAAAUGUUUUACUCACGUUGGCUGCAGUGAAGGAGAGCCCGCAGGUUUUGGUAGCGGGCCGUGUCAGUGGCACUAUAUUGUCCUCAAAUCGAGCAAAGAAGUUGUUUAGUUUGUCUGGGAGCAAGACAUUGUGGUCCGCGACAGGGCUGAUUUUUCUUUUGUAGUCCGUGAUUGACUGUAGACCCUGCCACAUACCUCUCGUGUCUGAGUGAAUUGCGACUCUACUUUGUCUCUAUACUGACGCUUAACUUGUUUGAUUGCCUUGUGGAGGGAAUAGCUACACUGUUUGUAUUCGGUCAUGUUUCCGGUCACCUUGCCCUGAUUAAAAGCAGUGGUUCGUGCUUUCAGUUUUGCGCGAAUGCUGCCAUCAAUCCACGGUUUCUGGUUGGGGAAUGUUUUAAUAGACGCUGUGGGUACAACAUCACCGAUGCACUUGCUAAUAAAACUCGCUCACCGAAUCAGCAUAUUCAUCAAUGUUGUUGUUCGAUGCUAUGCGGUAUAUAUCCCAGUCCACGUGAUCGAAGCAAUCUUGAAGCGUGGAAUCCGAUUGGUCGAACCAGCGUUGAACAGACCUGAGCACGGGUGCAUCCUGUUUUAGUUUCUGUCUAUAGGCUGGGAGCAACAAAAUGCAAUCAUGGUCAGCUUUUCCAAAAGGAGGGCGGGGGAGUGCCUUAUAUGCGCCGCGGAAGUUAGAAUAACAAUGAUCCAGGGUUUUGCCAGCCCUGGUAGCACAACCGAUAUGCUGAUAGAAUUUGGGGAGCCUUGUUUUCAGAUUAGCCUUGUUAAAAUCCCCAGCUACAAUAAAUGCAGCCUCAGGAUAUGUGGUUUCCAGUUUACAUAGAGUCAAAUAAAGUUUGUUUAGGGCCGGCGAUGUGUCUGCUUGGGGGGAAUAUACAUGACUGUGAUUAUGAUCGAAGAGAAUUCUCUUGGUAGAUAAUGCGGUCGGCAUUUGAUUGUGAGGAAUUCUAAGUCAGGUGAACAAAAGGCCUUGAGUUCCUGUAUGUUGUUAUGAUCACACCACGUCUCGUUAAUCAUAAGGCAUACACCCCCGCUCUCUUUCUCACCAGAAAGAUGCUUGUUUCUGUCGGCGCGAUGCGUGAAGAAACCAGGUGGCUGUACCGACUCUGAUUGCGUGUCUCGAGUGAGCCAUGUUUCCGUGAAACAAAGAACGUUACAGUCUCUGAUGUUUCUCUGGAAGGCAACCCUUGCUCGGAUGUCGUAUACCAUAUUCCCAAGAGACUGGACAUUGGCGAGUAGUAUGCUCGGGACCGGUGCGCCAUGUGCCAUCUACGGAGCCUGAGGUCUUGGCUGAUUUCUUUUGAUUUUCCCAUGAUGUCAAGCAAAGAGGCACUGAGUUUGAAGGUAGGCCUUGAAAUACAUCCACAGGUACACCUCCAAUUGACUCAGAAGCUUCUAAAGCCAUGAUGUCAUUUUCUGGAAUUUUCCAAGCUGUUUAAAGGCACAGUCAACUUAGUGUAUGUAAACUUCUGACCCACUGGAAUUGUGAUACAGUGAAUCCUAAGU
Molecule: long non-coding RNA, 1561 nt
Filed under: Salmo salar (Atlantic salmon)
Lineage: Eukaryota; Metazoa; Chordata; Actinopteri; Salmoniformes; Salmonidae
Description: lncRNA (ENSSSAG00000115027.1)
Source: RNAcentral